ACUGUGUUGCUGGAGGACCCAGAGCAGGAGUAGAUGAGAGCAGCUGCUGGAGGAACUUGGAAAAAAUUGGAUAAACCGCUAAAGGUUAACAUCUGCGGUAACCCUGUGGUGGGAAGGCAGAUGAGGGAGAAUGGUUGCCCUCAGUUAUGCUACAAAUGGAAAUAAGGGAGAAGGGACUCCGAUACAUUGCAUUUAAGGCCUCCUCACUGCAGCCAGCACAGCACAAGCACACAUCCACGGAUUGGUCCAGGCACUCGAGCCAGCAGGCGAGGCAUCUGCGAAGCUGAGACGCCAACUUUCUUUGCAACAGCAUCCUGAGAAACCACAGAAGACUCCUCCUUCCAAGAGUUCAACGUGGUUUAUGGAUAAUCACGUGCUCACUGUACCGUGCUGCAUCAGUUUAAUUUAA
This is a long non-coding RNA of Acipenser ruthenus (sterlet), 409 nucleotides long. RefSeq lists it as uncharacterized. Lineage: Eukaryota; Metazoa; Chordata; Actinopteri; Acipenseriformes; Acipenseridae. The record is from RefSeq and is a predicted model, not a curated record. The transcript has 4 exons.